Molecule: long non-coding RNA, 1253 nt
Organism: Dicentrarchus labrax (European seabass)
Lineage: Eukaryota; Metazoa; Chordata; Actinopteri; Moronidae
Exons: 2
Source: RefSeq, a predicted model, not a curated record
GGAGUGCCACAAGAGGAUCAAAGAUGAGACAUCAGCAAAUGUGUCCUCUAAAAGAACUAAAACUAAAGCAUACACAAUACCUGCUGAGUUAUUUUAGACCUUAUCUCCUCACACAGAAAGUGUUUAAACUGCAGUCUGACUUUAAAAACCUCUCACAGAACCAGAAAGCGUUCCUACGUAGAACCUUUAUCUGUAGCCUGGAUCUUUCCCACAGUCUUUGAAGUGGGAUUGUUUGGUAUGCAGGACGCGUCACGCCCUCCCCGUCAGCCCACUGCGCUCUGCAGUAAUCACCAUUACUCACAUCUGACACCAGCUGAGCUCCCACAACACAUCCUGCUUUAAUUGAGACGCAAUCAUAUCGGGGAUUUUUCAUUAACACACAACGGCAUGUAGUUCAGCUUCCGCUUGAACCCCCAAAAUGUGUGUUUUCCUUCAGCGGGGGACGAUGGAUCUUAAUUAUAAAUGUGAUGAUUGGACAAAAGUUGCAGUUGGUAAACAUGUUUGCUGUGGCUGCAGGGCUCACAGCAGACUGUAUCUCUGGCACCGCGUCAACGCCGCCCAAGAAGCUGUCGACAGGCCACACUGCUGUUCUUCCUUCAGAUCGACUGGACCUUCCUCCUCCUCCUCUUCUUCUUCUCUGGAGGAAAUUUCUGAUUAUUUAAAUGUUUUUUGAAGCUUUUAGUGUCUUAAAGAAGGCGGUUGCUAACGAGUCAACGUGUCAGUUAAAACCAGUAAAAUCACUGAAUACAGCAGUUCCACCUUAAAAAUCUCUGUUUCUCUGUCCCAGUUUUUGAUAAAAAUGAUGAUCUAAAACUCCCACAAUGCCCCACACCCACAACACAGGACCUGAUCUCGCUGUCCUCAGUCGUCCAUCUUUCCUUCCUGGUCCUCCUUUCUGACAGCCGACUGGACGAUGCCAAACUCCACCGAGUGUUUCUGCUCACUUUCAUGCACCAUGAAAUAUUCACAGCCGAAUGCGUGUCCUGUUUAUUAUUCAUGAGCUCACUUGACAUCUCUGAAUCAUUCCACACACACACACACACACACACACACACACACACACAGGCUCAUAUUUGCAUAGGCCUGCUGAGAAAUGCUGAGUUGGACACGUGAAGACGCAUUCAUGGACACACACAGUGGAGAGCUGGAUGCUGAAAAAUACCAAAUACUACCAAUACUGUCCAAUCAGAUUCUUCUGAUGAUUCCAGUUCCUGUAAGUCGUGUUAGUGCCUCCAGUAAACGGAGGGAGUUCA